ACCUCGGAUCAGGUAGGGAUACCCGCUGAACUUAAGCAUAUCAAUAAGCGGAGGAAAAGAAACCAACAGGGANUGCCCUAGUAACGGCGAGUGAAGCGGCAACAGCUCAAAUUUGAAAGCUAGCCUUCGGGUUCGCAUUGUAAUUUGUAGAGGAUGAUUUGGGGAAGCCGCCUGUCUAAGUUCCUUGGAACAGGACGUCAUAGAGGGUGAGAAUCCCGUAUGUGACAGGAAAUGGCACCCUAUGUAAANUCUCCUUCGACGAGUCGAGUUGUUUGGGAAUGCAGCUCUAAAUGGGAGGUAAAUUUCUUCUAAAGCUAAAUAUUGGCGAGAGACCGAUAGCGCACAAGUAGAGUGAUCGAAAGAUGAAAAGCACUUUGGAAAGAGAGUUAAAAAGCACGUGAAAUUGUUGAAAGGGAAGCGCUUGCAAUCAGACUUGUUUAAACUGUUCGGCCGGUCUUCUGACCGGUUUACUCAGUUUGGACAGGCCAGCAUCAGUUUCGGCGGCCGGAUAAAGGCUCUGGGAAUGUGGCCUCCACUUCGGUGGAGGUGUUAUAGCCCAGGGUGUAAUACGGCCAGCCGNGAC
Molecule: ribosomal RNA, 583 nt
Filed under: Aureobasidium sp. BESC15b
Lineage: Eukaryota; Fungi; Ascomycota; Dothideomycetes; Dothideales; Saccotheciaceae
Description: eukaryotic LSU rRNA
Rfam family: Eukaryotic large subunit ribosomal RNA
Source: RNAcentral